Non-coding RNA from Caretta caretta (loggerhead turtle), 2609 nucleotides. The record is from RefSeq and is a predicted model, not a curated record. NCBI's taxonomy places the organism in Eukaryota, Metazoa, Chordata, Testudines, Cheloniidae.
UCCAGCUUCUCGUCCACUGUCACCCCUAGGUCCUUUUCCGCAGAACUGCUGCCUAGCCAUUCGGUCCCUAGUCUGUAGCUGUGCAUUGGGUUCUUCCGUCCUAAGUGCAGGACCCUGAACAAGAAAUAUAUGUUUGAUGAUGAUGUUUUAAAGAAAGUCACACCAGUGAGCUGGUGGAAGUCACUAAGGCACUUGGAUUCAGAGACUCUUGAAGUGAUGAUCUCACUUUUAACGGCAGUAGCUUCUUUAGCUGGUGUAGAAAGAAUAUUUUCUUCCUUUGGACUAAUUCAUUCCAAAUCGAGAAAUCGUUUGGGACCUGAAAAAGCAGGAAAGCUUGUUUUUCUUUUCCAGAUUAUGAACAAACAGGAAAGUGAAGGUGAAGAUGACUGAGUUAGCUGAAGAAGCCAAUAUUUUAAGUUUCUCAUGUUGACCUGGCUGACCUAGUCAAUUUAAUUUUUGUUGAUUUUUUAAAAAAUGUCAUUUAACUAUUUUAGUUAAAAUUAUUUUUAACAAAAAACCCAUAUUUUUAAAAACAUGAAUGUUUAACUAAAUUCGGAAAUUCAUAUGCUUGUUUUGUUAAAAUAUAUGUUUGCUGUUGGGGAAAAGAAAAUCCAGAAUACAUAAUGUUGUUGUUGUUUUAGUUAAAUAAAACAAUUUAAAUGUCUGUCUGGUGAUGUUCUCCUCCUAAUACAGCAUGGCAAGAAAAUCCUCCAAAUAUUAAUGAUUAACCUGUUGAAUUGGAGAUAAUUCACCUCCCAAUGACUUCAUAAAUAUCUGCUUUAAUUAUCUUUGAUAAAUGAAAUAACCAAUCAUUCAUUCAUUCAUUUCUGAUAUAGCUGUAAAACUAGUCUGAAAUUUUUUUUUCAAAAUAAAUCACUUAAAAGAUAUAUAGUGUGUACCUUCUAAAAUUGAAACCUACAUCUAUCUCUGAGUCGUGAAGAAUAUGUAUGAAGGUUAUAACCACCACCAAGAAUGCACUUUUAUGUAGAAAUCCAUGAUUAAAUCAAGUCUUCCUGACUAAUGAUUUAAAUCAAAUCCACCUGAAUGGGGUCUAUCUAAGGGUAUGGCUACACUGGCGAGUUAGAGUACAUUAAUGCAGCACCGGGCGCUCUAACUCAUGACACUUCCACACUGGCAAGGCACAUAGAGCGCCCGGACUCCGUGGCUGGAGCGCUCCUUGUAAUCCACCUCGAUGAGAAGCAUAACGCUUGAUGCGCCCUGGCUGGAGUGCCGCAGCGCCAAUGUGGACACCCUGGUCUAUUAAUGCGCUCUGAUUGGCCUCCAGACGUGUCCCACAAUGCCUGUUCUAGCCACUCUGGUCAUGACUUUGAACUCUCCUGCCCUGCCUUCAGGUGUCCAACAGUCAGACCUGCCCUUUAAAUUCUCUGGGAAUUUUGAAAAUACCCUUCCUGUUUGCUCAGCAAGGCGUGGAGUACUCUCGGCGAAUCUUUCCAGAUGAGCGUGCCUCCACACACACCAGGUGAUCCCCAGUGUGGAGCAAUGGCGAUGUGCUGGACCUCAUCCGUGUUUGCGGGGAGGAAGCUGUCCGGUCCCAUCUGUGCUCCAGCCGUAGGAAUUACGAUACCUUUGGGCAAAUAUCAAGGGAUAUGAUGGAAAGGGGCCAUGGCCAGGACGCACUGCAGUGCAGGGUUAAAGUGAAGGAGCUGCGGAAUGCCUACCACAAAGCCCACGAGGCAAACUGCCACUCCGGUGCUGUGCCCGUGACCUGCUAUUUCUACAAAGGGCUGGACGCAAUACUUGGGGGAGACCCCACCUCCACUCCGACGACCACCCUGGACACUUCAGAGCCCAGUUCAACGAGGCAGGAGGAGAAGGAAAGCGGGAGCGAGGGUGCUGAGGAGGAGGGGGACAGCCCGACAUCCCUAGAUGCAUGCAGUCAGGAGGAAGGUAGCCAGUUGUAGCGUCCGGUGCUUUGGGAAGAACAAAUGCCAGAGGAGAUGCCUGAUGCAACCUUGAGAUCUCAGCCAUCCUUGUUAUCAGCGACCAAAAGAUUCCAAAGAGUUAGGAAGCAGCCAUGUAGAAGCAAAGAGGACAUGCUGCAUGAAGUAAUGCUGCAGUCCCUUAAUGAAAAUCAAAAAAUGCAGGAGUGGCGGGAGAGUGAAAGGAGGAUCUGCCAGCAGAAUGUGAAUCGCCGGCACCAAAGCAUGGAGCGGCUGCUAAGCAUUAUGGAGCACCAAGCGGACUUGAUACAGGCGCUCGUAGCAAUGCAGGGGGAGCACUUCUGUGCCCGCCCCGCCCUGCAGCCCUUGUCGCAAAACUCUUUCCCUUAUGCUCCCAUGUCACCUCCAACCCACUUUCCCCAACAUCCGGAUUGUGAUCGCCACCAGCUGCCGCCAACACCUAUAGCUUUACCACCCAGUCCUGCAAACUACGACCUUUACCCACUGCACUCAACCCCCCAUCACCAUGCAGUAUAGCCAUCCUGAAGUGCAGCACUCAUUGCACAGCACUCCAGACAGGAAGGCUGAGUAUGAUAACAGGACAUAUGCAAAUCUGUGAUUGUACUGUUCCCCACCCCACCCCUUUGGCCUUUCUGUUUCCUAAGCAAUUGUGUAUCUUUUCAAUAAAUGAAUUUUCUUUUCAAUAAA